This 408-nucleotide ribosomal RNA is filed under the name uncultured bacterium. RNAcentral describes it as "partial 16S ribosomal RNA". It matches the Rfam family "Bacterial small subunit ribosomal RNA", at positions 28 to 526 of the family's 1533-position model. The record is from RNAcentral.
GACGAACGCUGGCGGCGUGCUUAACACAUGCAAGUCGAACGGAGUGGCGAACGGGUGAGUAACACGUGGGUGACCUGCCCUGCACUUCGGGAUAAGCCUGGGAAACUGGGUCUAAUACCGGAUAGUGGGGGAUGGGCCCGCGGCCUAUCAGCUUGUUGGUGGGGUAAUGGCCUACCAAGGCGGCGACGGGUAGCCGGCCUGCGAGGGUGGACGGCCACAGUGGGACUGAGACACGGCCCAGACGCCUACGGGAGGCAGAAGGGGGGAAGAUUGCACAAUGGGCGGAAGCAUGAUGCAGCGACGCCGAGGGGGGGAGGACGGCCUUCGGGUUGUAAACGCCUUUCACCAUCGACGCGGUAGAUGGAGAAGAAGCACCGGCUAACUACGUGCCAGCAGCCGCGGUAAUAC